Pelobates cultripes (western spadefoot toad) is the source of this 353-nucleotide non-coding RNA. Lineage: Eukaryota; Metazoa; Chordata; Amphibia; Anura; Pelobatidae. The record is from the annotation of a GenBank genome assembly.
CUCCUGGCAGCGUUCCUAAGGAAUCCUAGUCCAUACGAGAUGCAUAGCCAGACACCAGCUCCUGGUCGCAUUCCUAAGGAAUCCUAGCCCAUACGAGAUGCAUAUCCAGACACCAGCUCCUGGCCACGUUCCGGAGGAAUCCUAGCCCAUACAGGAUGCAUAUCCAGACACCAGCUCCUGGCCGCGUUCCUGAGGAAUCCUAGUCCAUACGGCAUGCAUAGCCAGACACCAGCUCCUGGACGCGUUCCUGAGGAAUCCUAACCCAUACGAGAUGCAUAGCCAGACACCAGCUCCUGGCCACGUUCCGGAGGAAUCCUAGUCCAUACGAGAUGCAUAUCCAGACACCAGCUCCU